UCACAUUUACUGUACCAUGCUUAUAAUACCUUUUUAAUGUAAAUCAAAAAAAAAAAAAUUCCCAUCUUGCAGUUCAUUCAUAUUAGUUUAUAUCUUAAAUAUUUUGCUCACAGAUCACUAUUAACGUUCUGUAUAUAAUUCUGUUUUAUUUUCUCUCCCCUUGUAUUUAUUUUUUAGCUGAAAAGACGUAAAGGAAGCAGUCACCCCAGUCGUGUUUGUGAAGAGGUAUUCCUUCAGAAAUGGAGAAGACAGAAAGCUGCAGAGGCAGGAUUGUUUGCAGAUAAUGCUGCUCUUCUUUUUCAGAAGUUUUUGGUGAGCCAACCCUCACACACCUUCCUAAAAACUAAAAGAGCUAUUACUGAGUCUCAGCGAAUCUUGCCAUGAUCAGCUCUUCCCAGAAGAUAAGGAAGACCAAGGAAAUGAUUUGCUCAGGAUGAGGAAUGAAGAAGGCCAUCUUGUGCUCAAGCAAACAGAAGUCCUCUGAUGAUCUCAUCAGCCAAAUGAGGGGUUUUGACCAAGUGAUGCUCUUGAAAGGAGGGAAAGAAGAGGAAUUGAAUUCAGAGAAAAAGCUUCUCUAAAGGUCUUAAAGCAGCUUGAAGAAUGGU
Carassius carassius (crucian carp) is the source of this 605-nucleotide long non-coding RNA. RefSeq lists it as uncharacterized. The transcript is spliced from 4 exons. Lineage: Eukaryota; Metazoa; Chordata; Actinopteri; Cypriniformes; Cyprinidae. The record is from RefSeq and is a predicted model, not a curated record.